Molecule: non-coding RNA, 73 nt
Organism: Mauremys mutica (yellowpond turtle)
Lineage: Eukaryota; Metazoa; Chordata; Testudines; Geoemydidae
Source: the annotation of a RefSeq genome assembly
GCAUUGGUGGUAUAGUGGUGAGCAUAGCUACCUUCCAAGCUAGUUGACCUGGGUUCAAUUCCCAGCUAAUGCA